GAUGAACGCUGGCGGCGUGCCUAAUACAUGCAAGUCGAGCGAACGGACGAGAAGCUUGCUUCUCUGAUGUUAGCGGCGGACGGGUGAGUAACACGUGGAUAACCUACCUAUAAGACUGGGAUAACUUCGGGAAACCGUAGCUAAUACCGGAUAAUAUUUUGAACCGCAUGGUUCAAAAGUGGAAGACGGUCUUGCUGUCACUUAUAGAUGGAUCCGCGCUGCAUUAGCUAGUUGGUAAGGUAACGGCUUACCAAGGCAACGAUGCAUAGCCGACCUGAGAGGGUGAUCGGCCACACUGGAACUGAGACACGGUCCAGACUCCUACGGGAGGCAGCAGUAGGGAAUCUUCCGCAAUGGGCGAAAGCCUGACGGAGCAACGCCGCGUGAGUGAUGAAGGUCUUCGGAUCGUAAAACUCUGCUAUUAGGGAAGAACAUAUGUGUAAGUAACUGUGCACAUCUUGACGGUACCUAAUCAGAAAGCCACGGCUAACUACGUG
RNAcentral lists this ribosomal RNA (497 nucleotides) under uncultured bacterium. RNAcentral's name for it is "partial 16S ribosomal RNA". It matches the Rfam family "Bacterial small subunit ribosomal RNA", at positions 28 to 507 of the family's 1533-position model. The record is from RNAcentral.